RNA transcript from Nomia melanderi (Alkali bee), 6197 nucleotides. RefSeq lists it as uncharacterized. The record is from RefSeq and is a predicted model, not a curated record. Lineage: Eukaryota; Metazoa; Arthropoda; Insecta; Hymenoptera; Halictidae.
UAUGAGAUUACCAUGAACGGACGUAUAUUUCAAUGCCAAUUCUCUCGAGGGAACCUAUCAUUUAACGCGAUCGUCCCGGUGACAAUGCAGAAAGCCGAGACACCGCGCUUUCAGCAGAAGUACAACGCGAUCGCGCUUAAUUCGCUGACAUCCGAUCUAUUUUUUCCUGUCGUCGCGCCGGGAACGAUCGCGCCCGAGGAUCGAUGCCAGCCGCGAUUUCGCUCACUUUUCGGAUACACCGGCUACAAUCGAAUCGGAGGAUGCCUUCCGUCGUCGAGUCUUCAAUGAAAACUCCUCUACGUCCUCCUCCUAACGAGCGAGAUCGGUUCUUUGAAUAAUCCUCGAUAAUUCUCUGCAGAUUCGACGGUGCCACGAAGAACCGAAGGUAACGCCGGUCUUCGAGGAUCCUUUUCGCAGGAUUAGGAGACCGAUCCUGCGCGGUCACUCACCAGUAAAAUAUACGGUCCGAGUGGAGAUGGAAAUCGAGCAGAAUCUCCUUGAACCGGGUCCACAUGGAGUCCCAAGCACCGGUGGAUGCGUUUCCUCCUCGUUGCGCUUCCAUCGUCGGCGUGCGACGCUCAGGUCGUUCCGCGGCCAAAUGUCCACUGGGAGCGUUACUAAGCACACGGCCGGAGUGCGGCAGCAUGCAUGUGACCAACGGUGGAAGUAAUCUGCCACAAUUAUAUAACGUUCGCUCCGGAGGUUCGGUUGCAGGGCCGCCGCAAUGCUGAUGGCACCGGGAGGAUGAGGAGGAGCGUGCUCCGUGGAUCACCCCUCCUAUUGUCUUCUUCCAGCAGGGUCAAUCGGUGCGCGAGUCGGACGAUCCGCAGGGCUUUUCGAUGCACUCGGUUGCACUCGGAGGAGCCUCGAUUUCCUGGAAGGAUCUUCGAGGUCGGAGUAUCUUAAUUACGAUAUGGGGAUACAGGUGCUUUAAUGCUUUCUGCUACGGAAUCAAAACCCUCAUGUACUUGAAACUAUUUUUUUAAUGGUUGCUUCACUAUUUUUCUUAUCUUAUAUAUCCAACAAAAUUCGGUUUGUUCGAUACAUCAGAAAAAUUUGUCCAAGUUUCUGGAAAAAAAUAAUGUCAGCCGAAUUUGACAGUGUUCGACAAUCGUGCAGUAUCUCUGUAUGUUCUCCGAUGGUAAUCAUCCGGCGAGAAAAAGAACCGCGUCUAACGUGUCUCUUCGAUCGGAAACCUUUCUUUCCUGUUCCUUUUUGCGGACACGGCACUCGAUGACGAUCUGUUAUUUAUCGUUUCCUCUCGUGCGAUAAAACGCAUUUUCGUCACAUCGUUAAUGUACUUCAUUAGAUACCAGGUUUCAAGAUCGACGUGCAAGGGUUGAAAAGGUUUUGAAAAUGUCCCCGCGAAUUCCUCGGGGUGAUCGAAGGAUCGGAAUCAGUCACCGGAGCGAUUUCGAGCAGGUAACGAUCGCGCGGAACCGGCUCCGCGAUCCAGGGGAAGGUAGGGAGCACUCGAAGCGAAUGCCUUUCUCAUCAUCCGUGGAUCUUCAGUAUUCCUGGUUCCAGUCGGACCGAUGGACGGUCCUCUCUUCCGUGUCGUUCAUCGUUGAUUCGUGCACGUUAAAUCGCGAUUAAAUCGCGUGCUGGACAUCGGUGCUCGAUCCACUUCAGGGAAGACACCUGGAAAGCCAUGAGGCCCGCGACGGCGUUGCUGCUCCUCGCGGUGGGGUUGUCGAACGGUCAAUUGAACUUCGAGGGUAACCCGCUGACGGAGAACACCGAGUACACCGCCGAGGAGUCGCGUUUUUCCCAGAGAACCGCAAGGCAGCAAGAAACCGCGUCGAACCUGACGACGAUCGUUCCGGAGCUCCGCUCGCAGAAGCUGUACCCGAUCCUCGAUGCGAAGAACGCGUCGACGAACCUGGAAGCAAAAAGUCCCAUCACCGACUAUUCGAGCGGUCAGACCGACCUAGAGUACCCGUGGCAGCCGCAGACCAUCACCGAUCAGCCGGAGGUGGUUCAAACGUCUCGCCAACUGUCCUCCAGCGCGUACAAUCACGGAAGCGACACUGCCAGCCCGGUGCAGGCGGCCUUGAACACGUUCCUGAACUCCAAGACUCCGGAGGAGUCUCGCCUGUCCUUGGACAGCUACCUGCAGAACGCGGUGGCUCCUCAGAGCGGCCUCUCCCAGGAGGAACCCGGCCAGCAAACGGUGCCGCCGGCGAGUCAGCAGCAAUUAGCGCGGCAGACGUUGCCGAUGGCUUCCCAGGUUAAUCAGCAACCCGCCGGGCUGUCUUCUCCGGUUAAUCAACACCUGACGGCGCAACUUAUGCAACAACGCCAGUCGCUGUACGGGUUUCCCGUUAGCCAGAGGCAGCAGUUCAACGACGCGGUCUACAAUGGCCUGCCUGCGAACUCGCAGGAUCCUCGUUCACCUGUCGCGGUUGGCACACCUCUGCCGCAACCGGCUCUGCAGAUGCCUUAUCCGCAGAUACAGCCGCGGAACGAUAUCUUCUAUCCGCCCGGCUGGCACCAACGCGUGAGAAGAAUACACGGCAGGCCUUUCCCCUACGUCCAGUCCAGGGGAGGACCCGGGUUCUACAAUGGGCCGGCUCCAGGUCCGUUCAAGCCGAAGGUCCCUCCAGUGGAGGUGAUCUACACGAAGCCACCAGGCUACAGCCACGGUCCGCCAGCUUUGAGCAACCCUCCGGUGCCCUACGAGGACGCCAGCGCGUUCUUCCCCGAGGCUGAUCAUCCCCCGAACACCAAGGACGUCUACUACUCUCAGCUGUACGCCCAGUCGUACGACCCCUACUAUUACAACUACAUAGCGAAGACCGGUAAGAUCAAGCCGCACCUUUACGGGAAGUUGGGUAAGUACGAGAACGAAGGCGGGGGCAUCUGGAACGAGCUGUACCGGGGGUUCAAGCAGCACGGCUUGAAGAACAUCAUGACUCCGACGUUCCUGCUGGGGAUGACGCUGCCGGUGGUGACGCUGAUGCUCACCGCGCUCGUCCAGAAGAGGUCCUUCUCGUCCAGAUCGGACUCGAGGGAGUUCUCCAGGGAGGAGACCAUCCAGGAGUACCUGGAGCAGCUGCAGAGGGCCGUCGAGUGCUACGAGAAGAGGAGGAAAAAGAGGGACGCCAGCUACGACGGAUGCUGAAACACUCGAUGUUAAUUUAUCGUGCGACGGAUGACUCUUCGGGGUCGUGAACGAUCAGAGUGCGCGAGAGACACACCUGGAGAGCUCGGCGAGUUCCGGCGGUAUCGGGUGUUGUACAUAUUGCGUGUAACGAUAACGUCGCGUCCGUGGGAUCCCGCGAUUAGUGCCUUUUCAUUCGGACGGAUAUCAUGCAGUGGCUUGUCGCGUGUGACAAAUGAAUCGUUGUACACGCGGUAAACACACACCGGCCGCGAGCCGUCGUCCAUGGGAGAAGGCGACAGUGAAAUGUUUCUACGUGCGGAGCCAACGUUCGCGGGUCAAUUAUCUAUGACCCUGUUCACGUCCACGUGCCGACGGGUGAACAGUCCUUACACCGCGAGCUUCAAUUCACGGCGGCACUGAUGCGACACGCUUUCCUUCGUGGUACUCUUACUUUUUACUAUACACCGCCCUCCGGCGAAGAACCGUUGGAUGCAGAGGGUGCUUGAGUUAACCCUUUGCACUCGGAUGUCUUACUAGAAAUAUUUAAUAUUUCUUUAUGAGGCGAAGAUGUUUGGAGACUAAUUCGAAGGGAAAUCGCCGGUACAUUGAACAAAGCUAUUCCAAUGUUUCACGUAUCGAGGCAUUGUACAAAGUUUAACAUUAAGUAUCACAUUCUAUAGUUUUACUGUGUCAAAUCAAGUGACUUAGUCACCUCUCGAGUGUAAAGGGUUAACAGAAAUAGGUAAUUCGGUCUUUGUCAAUUCCUUGAACGCACUUUGCCAGUAGUGCAAAUGAUGUAGAAACAGUGAACUAAAAAAUGAAAUGCACACGAGAUGCGUGAGAUGCACGUUCCUUCGUCUCUUCCUCCUUUCCGCUGGUAAUGUAGCAUGGAUAACGGUCUUAAUUUCAAGCAAUGUUUUGAUUGCGCAAACACACGGGAAAACGAUGAUCAGCCGGGGACUAGCGGUGUUCGACCUAGAUCCGCGCGUUUUGUAUGUACCGACGAGCCCUGAAUUCCAAAUUAGAAAUGACAUCCGCGAUUCGCUGCAACGCGGCCCGUGCAUCAUGACACAGAAAUGGAUAACCGGUUUAGGCUUACGUAGCGUCAGUGAUUUCAGUCGUUGGGCCUGAUUAAUAACACCGCAACCUGUUUGAGAAACUGGCGCCGUUCCCAUUAUCGACAUUUCGGGGCGAUCCACAUACCGUAAUUUCACCUGUUGUCAUUUUUCUAACGUAAAUGGUACAUCUAGUAACACGCUGCUGCGAACUGGAUGCGAUUAUACUUGUUCUCUUAUUUAAUGGAAAGUAGCGAAGAUUCCUGAGGAUUAAACAACUUAACGCGUUGAGUGCCACUGUACCAUUCCUGAUCCCCUUAUGACCGAGAAAAAUAUGGCAGUGUUUCUUGGCGCAGGAACCGGUCUCCGCGAGGGACGACUUGCACUUCGGGCCACACCAGAAGUCCGCGAGAUUCUCCUUUCACCCGUGCCUGGAAAUUUCGUUUCUCAUUAGACUCGAUUCGACCUUUCAUAGUCCUCCGAUCUAUUCGGUCGAAGAUAUCAAUUAAAAAUCGUAUCGAUCUUGGACUCUCUACGAUGCACAACGGUGUCGGGCAGUAGAAUUGAAAGAGUUUACUUGACAAAUUUACUAAUACCUUCUACGUGGAAGAUAAGACUCAAUGGAAAUGAAGAUUAGCUAAUUAACGCGUUGAAUACACGAUUUCAUAGAGCAAAAUAUUAAAUCAUUCGAUUGAAUUGCAUUAUCAUUGUAUGUUCAUUUAGCUGAAUGGCAGCAUUAUUUAUAAUAUAUAAAUCUUUUCAAAUAAUCAUAGUUUAACUGAGUGAACUAUAGUAAUCACGGUUGAGGGUCACCGGUGACCCACGGCAUUCGACGUGUCAAGAAUUAAUAGAAUUAUUACGCGAGUAUAGGAUAAUAUAACAUCUUGAUGACGCCACCGAGUUUCUACUAAACAGUGUUUUAUACGUAAAACCCUGUUUCUAAAGAAGCUGCACGUGGGAAGAAUACGUAUUCCCAGUGAAACCGUGCGACCCGUCCCAGAUCGAGGGCCGAACAAGUGAAACUACAACGGGGAAUAUGAAACAGAUGAUCGUCAAUGAGGGGAUUUAAAAGAAAGACGCCGACGAAUCAAUCUUUUGAUCCCAAUCAGAACUGGAAACUUGCCGGGAGCGGCGAGGUGACAUUCAAGCGUCCCCCAUGAAUUGAAUUAAGCAACAAGUACCUUUUGAAUCGGCGAGGAACGAUUAAGCGAAACGGAAAGAAUCCACGGACUGAAUGGAAAUAUAAAUUCAUUCCUGACAGGCACACCGGCCAGCUGAUUAUAAUUGAAUUAUCCGAUCGAACGAUUGACGGCUUGAUUCGCGGGGUCAUGGGACCCAGACGCUGCGCGCGGUCCGCCCUAACAAGGAGCGGUUAUUAGUUUCAACUCAGCCUCUUGCGGGUCAUUAAAACGUCUAAGGUAACGUCUGCUCUGCUCGCGUUUCUCUUCGUUCGCCGAUUCAUCGGCACCGAGAGCUUCGGGAUAGGGGAUGACGCCGAAGAACACGUACAGGAGGGUUGCGGCGGGAUUCUCUCUGAAACGUUCACGCACGGUUAAAUGGAACAACGGCGGUCGUUAGCGAAAAAUAUAUCGUGUAUUUCGUUGCUUCUAGUUUCUACAAAUACAACUUGCUACGACAGGCAGAGGGGGCCGAGAAAUCAAGCGCAACGCGUGUUCUUGGCCGGCGCCUUUUGCUACCACUCCUCGCUUCGUCGUUGAAAAGAAAUUGAGUUAUAGAAAGAUUCAACGCUUGCACAGCUUUCGAGGCUUUCGGAACGUUCACGAUCGUUCAGCCUCGAUAGAACUGUAUUUUCAACGUUCGAAUAUUUGAAGAAACUAAAUACCUAGCGAGACUUUGUCUUUACAAUAUGAACCGCAAAUCGGUCAACUCCACUCUUUCAAGUUUCAUCGUCAAACUAUGUAACUGACUUUAGCUUAGGAAAUCAGAUAAAUUUCUUUGAUAGAAGCUGCAAUGAUAAAGAUCGCUUGAAGUAUAUACUAUCUUAUGGGUUUUAAGUAUACUUUCAUUUAAAGAGA